RNAcentral lists this ribosomal RNA (496 nucleotides) under uncultured bacterium. RNAcentral's name for it is "partial 16S ribosomal RNA". It matches the Rfam family "Bacterial small subunit ribosomal RNA", at positions 28 to 507 of the family's 1533-position model. The record is from RNAcentral.
GAUGAACGCUGGCGGCGUGCCUAAUACAUGCAAGUCGAGCGAACAGACGAGGAGCUUGCUCCUCUGACGUUAGCGGCGGACGGGUGAGUAACACGUGGAUAACCUACCUAUAAGACUGGGAUAACUUCGGGAAACCGGAGCUAAUACCGGAUAAUAUAUUGAACCGCAUGGUUCAAUAGUGAAAGACGGUUUUGCUGUCACUUAUAGAUGGAUCCGCGCCGCAUUGGCUAGUUGGUAAGGUAACGGCUUACCAAGGCAACGAUGCGUAGCCGACCUGAGAGGGGGUCGGGCCCAACAGAAAGUGAGAAACGGCCCAGACCCUAAGGGAGGGAGGAGUGGGGAAAAUUGGGCAAAAGGGGGAAACCCUGCCCAGGCAACGCGCGGGGGUUGAAGAAGGCUUUCGGGUGGAAAAACCUUUUUAUGGGGAAAAAAAAAAGUUGGAAGAAACUAGGCAGGUUUGACGGGAACCAAAAAAGAAGCCCCGGCUAAAUUCGUG